AUGUACAUUCAUACAUCAUAGUGUUACUGCACCGGAUCCCAUUAGAAUUUCACAGUUAAGCGUGCUCGGGCUAGAGUAGUACAGGGAUGGGUGACAACCUAGGAAUUCCUAGUGUUUUACAUG
Non-coding RNA from Picea glauca (white spruce), 123 nucleotides. Lineage: Eukaryota; Viridiplantae; Streptophyta; Pinopsida; Pinales; Pinaceae. The record is from Rfam.